CCCAUCUGAUUGCGGGACUCAGCCCAGGGAUAAUUCUGUGCCCCUGUGAGACAGCUUAGAUGGUGACAAGCUACAGAUAUUGAAGCCAGUGGGACCUGGGUUUGAAGUCUGACUCUGCCAUUUAGUGAAAGACCUUGAGCAAAACUCACUGGCCCUGGAGCCAAUCUUGAGCAGAGCCUAUAAGGCAGAAGGAUCCAGACUCUGAAUAACCAGACAUGCCUGCAGGAGACCAUGUGAGUGAUGGAAAUAAAACUCUGCUGGGGCAUUCAAAUAUUGAAAGAAUGAAUGAAUGAAUAAGUGUUUGCACCAGUGAGAUACUGAGCGGACCUAUUUGAAAAGAGAGAGUGGAAGAAUGGGCUCCGGAUGUGGGACUGCAGAGGACACUUGGAACAGGGGCCAGCAAAAGGACUCUGAGCUCCAGAGGGGAACAACAAGGAGUAAUCCUAAAGAUGCAGCUUGAGCUGUGGCCCCCAAAAGAUAUGUCCACAACCUAAUCCAUGGAAUCUAUGAAUGGAUCUUCUUUGAGAAAAAGAUCUUUACGAAGAAAGUCCAAUUUUCCGUUUCUAAAUCCUUGCCAGUGCACGCACCUCAGCCCUGGCUUGCGUAGAUGAUGGCUGCAUGUGCGCUUAUCUGACUCAAGGAGAUGCCGGGAAGAAGACUUCUUACAAAACCAUAGCGUCAAAAAUUAAUGAGGAAUGUGAAGAUGCUUUUCCUGGUGCUAAAUACCCGGCUCAACGUUUCAUAUGCCCCUUACUUUACU
This 760-nucleotide long non-coding RNA is filed under the name Homo sapiens (human). RNAcentral describes it as "HSALNT0304442". Lineage: Eukaryota; Metazoa; Chordata; Mammalia; Primates; Hominidae. The record is from RNAcentral.